UGCGUUUUUCGCCCAGGCGGGGCUCGGCCGCCACUUCGAGCCGUAAGGACAUUUAUCGACCAGUAUCGCCAUGCCUACGGUGUCGAGCCGAUCUGCAAGCUGAUGCAGAUCGCACCG
This is a regulatory RNA element of Massilia sp. KIM, 117 nucleotides long. It matches the Rfam family "ALIL pseudoknot". NCBI's taxonomy places the organism in Bacteria, Pseudomonadati, Pseudomonadota, Betaproteobacteria, Burkholderiales, Oxalobacteraceae. The record is from Rfam.